UGUAGUAAUCCUGCUCAGUAGGAGAGGAACCGCAGGUUCAGACAUUUGGUGUAAGUACUUGGCUGAGGAGCCAAUGGUGCGAAGCUACCAUCUGUGGGAUUAUGACUGAACGCCUCUAAGUCAGAAUCCCCCCUAAACGUAACGAUAACGUAGCGCAGCAGAUCUUCGGUUGGCCCGGGAUAGCAUGCCUCUUUUGGCAGGUGAGUAGAGCCGUUUGUGAGGGGGUUGGGGUGCGGCCGGAUGAGUUGCCGCCCUCUCCUGAUGCGUACCGCAUGUUUGUGGGGAACCUGGUGCUAAAUCACUUGUAGAUUACCUGACUCUGGGUCAAUGUGUUGUAUGUAGCAGAGCAGCUCACUCACUGCGAUCUAUUGAAAGUCAGCCCUCGAUCCAAGAUUU
This 396-nucleotide non-coding RNA is filed under the name Salmo salar (Atlantic salmon). Its description in RNAcentral is "Eukaryotic large subunit ribosomal RNA". It matches the Rfam family "Eukaryotic large subunit ribosomal RNA", at positions 3015 to 3399 of the family's 3401-position model. Lineage: Eukaryota; Metazoa; Chordata; Actinopteri; Salmoniformes; Salmonidae. The record is from Rfam by way of RNAcentral.